GUGCUCGCUUUGGCAACAUACAUGCUAAAAUUGGAACGAUACAGAGAAGAUUAGCAUGGCUGCUGUGUAAGGAUGACACGCAAGUUCUUGAAGCAUUCCAUGUUUUA
Molecule: small nuclear RNA, 107 nt
Organism: Octodon degus (degu)
Lineage: Eukaryota; Metazoa; Chordata; Mammalia; Rodentia; Octodontidae
Source: Ensembl